AUUGAACGCUGGCGGCAUGCUUUACACAUGCAAGUCGAACGGCAGCGCGGGCUUCGGCCUGGCGGCGAGUGGCGAACGGGUGAGUAAUGCAUCGGAACGUGCCCAGUAGUGGGGGAUAGCCCGGCGAAAGCCGGAUUAAUACCGCAUACGACCUGAGGGUGAAAGCGGGGGACCGAAAGGCCUCGCGCUAUUGGAGCGGCCGAUGUCGGAUUAGCUAGUUGGUGGGGUAAAGGCUUACCAAGGCGACGAUCCGUAGCUGGUCUGAGAGGACGACCGGCCACACUGGGACUGAGACACGGCCCAGACUCCUACGGGAGGCAGCAGUGGGGAAUUUUGGACAAUGGGGGCAACCCUGAUCCAGCCAUGCCGCGUGCGAGAAGAAGGCCUUCGGGUUGUAAACCGCUUUUGUUCGGGAAGAAAUCCUCUGGGCUAAUACCCCGGGGGGAUGACGGUACCGGAAGAAUAAGCACCGGCUAACUACGUG
RNAcentral lists this ribosomal RNA (484 nucleotides) under uncultured bacterium. Its description in RNAcentral is "partial 16S ribosomal RNA". It matches the Rfam family "Bacterial small subunit ribosomal RNA", at positions 28 to 507 of the family's 1533-position model. The record is from RNAcentral.